GUCCUCUGUGAUGUCACGUAGGUUGAUACGUUGCUGUGUUUUCUUUUGGCUAGCCCGAAAAUUGGGUCUGAAUUCCAGAAAGAGCCCAGGGCAGAUGAGUCGAAGUUCAAGCCUGAAUUGAGGUGUCACCCGUUUUCCCCAUUAGUCCCUGGGUAUUUAUUCCUGUGUUCCCCGCUUGUCUGCUGCCAGUUCGUCUUGUCAUGUCAAGUCACUCUCCCCUCCCUUUCUCCCUCUCUCUCUCCCUCUCUCUCUAUCUCACAGGUGUUUUCCCUGUGGCUCAGUUGGUAGAGCACGGUGUUUGCAACGCCACAUGGUGUGUGGGUUCGAUUCCCACAGGGGGCCAGUACAAAAAAAAAAAAUGCAUGAAAUGAAAUGUAUGCAUGCACUACU
Molecule: long non-coding RNA, 390 nt
Filed under: Salmo salar (Atlantic salmon)
Lineage: Eukaryota; Metazoa; Chordata; Actinopteri; Salmoniformes; Salmonidae
Description: lncRNA (ENSSSAG00000111970.1)
Rfam family: tRNA (bases 269-339)
Source: RNAcentral